RNAcentral lists this ribosomal RNA (541 nucleotides) under Cystofilobasidium macerans. RNAcentral describes it as "LSU rRNA". It matches the Rfam family "Eukaryotic large subunit ribosomal RNA", at positions 90 to 621 of the family's 3401-position model. The record is from RNAcentral. Lineage: Eukaryota; Fungi; Basidiomycota; Tremellomycetes; Cystofilobasidiales; Cystofilobasidiaceae.
CGAGUGAAGCGGGAAGAGCUCAAAUUUAAAAUCUGGCAGGCUACGCUUGUCCGAAUUGUAAUCUCGAGAAGUGUUUUCCGCGUUGGCCUGUGUACAAGUCCCUUGGAACAGGGCGUCAUAGAGGGUGAGAAUCCCGUCCUUGACACAGACACCCAAUGCUUUGUGAUACACUCUCAAUGAGUCGAGUUGUUUGGGAAUGCAGCUCAAAAUGGGUGGUAAAUUCCAUCUAAAGCUAAAUACUGGCGAGAGACCGAUAGCGAACAAGUACCGUGAGGGAAAGAUGAAAAGCACUUUGGAAAGAGAGUCAAACAGUACGUGAAAUUGUUGAAAGGGAAACGAUUGAAGUCAGUCGUGCCUGCCUAGUCUCAGCCUUUUGGUGUACUACUAGGUCGGCAGGUCAGAUCAGUUUGGGAGGAUUAACAAGGGAGUUAGGAAUGUGGCAACCUCGGUUGUGUUAUAGCCUAGCUUCGCAUUGAUCUUGCUGGACUGAGGAACGCAGUGCGCCCGCAAGGGUUGGUCUUCGGACACAUUCGCACUUAGG